AACGAACGCUGACGGCGUGCCUAACACAUGCAAGUCGAACGAGAAAGUCCCGGCUUGCCGGGAUGAGUAGAGUGGCGCACGGGUGAGUAACGCGUGGGUAAUCUGCCUUUAAGCUUGGGAUAACACUGCGAAAGCGGUGCUAAUACCGGAUAUGCUCACAGUUUGAAAUGUCUGUGGGGAAAGGUGGCCUCUGACAUAAGCUACCACUUAAAGAUGAGCCCGCGUACCAUUAGCUUGUUGGUGGGGUAAUGGCCUACCAAGGCUACGAUGGUUAGCUGGGCUGAGAGGGCGGCCAGCCGCACUGGAACUGAGACACGGUCCAGACUCCUACGGGAGGCAGCAGUGGGGAAUAUUGCGCAAUGGGGGAAACCCUGACGUAGCGACGCCGUGUGAGUGAUGAAGGCUUUCGGGUCGUAAAGCUCUGUCGGAUGGGACGAAUAAUGACUGUGUGAAUAAUGCAGUCAGAUGACGGUACCGUCGAAGGAAGCACCGGCUAACUCCGUGCCAGCCGCCGCAGUAA
This 520-nucleotide ribosomal RNA is filed under the name uncultured bacterium. Its description in RNAcentral is "partial 16S ribosomal RNA". It matches the Rfam family "Bacterial small subunit ribosomal RNA", at positions 29 to 523 of the family's 1533-position model. The record is from RNAcentral.